RNAcentral lists this ribosomal RNA (497 nucleotides) under uncultured bacterium. RNAcentral's name for it is "partial 16S ribosomal RNA". It matches the Rfam family "Bacterial small subunit ribosomal RNA", at positions 28 to 507 of the family's 1533-position model. The record is from RNAcentral.
GAUGAACGCUGGCGGCGUGCCUAAUACAUGCAAGUCGAGCGAACAGACGAGGAGCUUGCUCCUUUGACGUUAGCGGCGGACGGGUGAGUAACACGUAGGUAACCUACCUAUAAGACUGGGAUAACUUCGGGAAACCGGAGCUAAUACCGGAUAAUAUUUCGAACCGCAUGGUUCGAUAGUGAAAGAUGGCUUUGCUAUCACUUAUAGAUGGACCUGCGCCGUAUUAGCUAGUUGGUAAGGUAACGGCUUACCAAGGCAACGAUACGUAGCCGACCUGAGAGGGGGAGGGGCGAGAUGGGAAGUGGGACACGGCCCAGACGAAGGGGGGAGGGAGCAGUGGGGAAUGUGAGGCAAUGGGGGAAAGCAUGACGGAGAAAGGUGAGGGGAGUGAGGAAGGUGUUAGGGGCGUAAAACUGUGUUAAGGGGGAAGAAGAAAUGUGUAAGUGAAAGUGCACGGAGUGACGGUACCUAAUAAGAAAGAAACGGAUAACUACGUG